GACGAACGCUGGCGGCGUGCCUAAUACAUGCAAGUAGAACGCACAGUUUAUACCGUAGCUUGCUACACCAUAGACUGUGAGUUGCGAACGGGUGAGUAACGCGUAGGUAACCUGCCUGGUAGCGGGGGAUAACUAUUGGAAACGAUAGCUAAUACCGCAUAAUAUUAAUUAUUGCAUGAUAAUUAAUUGAAAGGUGCAAUUGCACCACUACCAGAUGGACCUGCGUUGUAUUAGCUAGUAGGUGAGGUAACGGCUCACCUAGGCGACGAUACAUAGCCGACCUGAGAGGGUGAUCGGCCACACUGGGACUGGGACACGGCCCAGACUCCUACGGGAGGCAGCAGUAGGGAAUCUUCGGCAAUGGACGAAAGUCUGACCGAGCAACGCCGCGUGAGUGAAGAAGGUUUUCGGAUCGUAAAGCUCUGUUGUAAGAGAAGAACGGGUGUGAGAGUGGAAAGUUCACACUGUGACGGUAUCUUACCAGAAAGGGACGGCUAGCUACGUG
This 505-nucleotide ribosomal RNA is filed under the name uncultured bacterium. RNAcentral describes it as "partial 16S ribosomal RNA". It matches the Rfam family "Bacterial small subunit ribosomal RNA", at positions 28 to 507 of the family's 1533-position model. The record is from RNAcentral.